UCAAGCUAGAAAGAGCGCAAGGGGAAUGCCUUGGCAUCAGGAGCCGACGAAGGACGUGACAAGCUGCGAUAAGCUGCGGUGAGCUGCACAUAAGCUUUGACCCGCAGAUUUCCGAAUGGGGAAACCCGGCAGAGCAAUACUCUGUCAGCGUGCGUUGAAUCAAAUAGGCGUACGCGGGGAACCGCCUGAACUGAAACAUCUAAGUAGGGCGAGGAAGAGAAAUCAACCGAGAUUCCGCUAGUAGUGGCGAGCGAACGCGGAAGAGGCCAAACCGGAGGUAGCAAUAUUUCCGGGGUUAGGACUGCAACAUGUAACUUUAAUCUUUAACUGAAUGCUUUGGGAAGAGCAGCGAUACAGGGUGAUAGCCCCGUAAGUGAAAAGGAUUGAGUGCUAGCAGUAUCCAGAGUACCAGCGGACACGUGAAACCCGCUGGGAAGAUGGGGGGACCAUCCUCCAAGCCUAAAUACUACUCAGUGACCGAUAGUGGAGCAGUACCGUGAGGGAAAGGUGAAAAGUACCCCGGGAGGGGAGUGAAAAAGAACCUGAAACCUUGUGCCUACAAGCACCGAGAGUCCGUUAAAGGAUGAUCGGGUACUUUUUGUAGAACGGUCCGGCGAGUUAAUAUUUGCAGCGAGGUUAAGGAACUGGAGUUCCGGAGCCGCAGCGAGAGCGAGUCUGAAUAGGGCGUAUGAAGUUGCAGGUAUUAGACCCGAAACCGGGUGACCUAUCCAUGAGCAGGCUGAAGCGGUGGUAAGACACCGUGGAGGGCCGCACCCACGUCUGUUGAAAAAGCCGGGGAUGACUUGUGGAUAGCGGAGAAAUUCCAAUCGAACUCGGAGAUAGCUGGUUCUCCCCGAAAUAGCUUUAGGGCUAGCGUUAUUUUAGAUUACCGGAGGUAAAGCACUGAAUGGUCUAGGGGCCGCGAGGUUACCAAAGCCUAUCAAACUCUGAAUGCCGGAUAAUUGAUGAAUAGCAGUCAGACUGUGUGAGAUAAGUCUCAUAGUCAAAAGGGAAACAGCCCAGAUCUACAGCUAAGGUCCCAAAUGAACACUAAGUGGAAAAUGAUGUGAAACUGCGAAGACAACCAGGAUGUUGGCUUAGAAGCAGCCACUCAUUCAAAGAGUGCGUAAUAGCUCACUGGUCGAGUGGUUUUGCGCAGAAAAUGUAACGGGGCUAAGUGUUCAACCGAAGCUUAGGCAUUGCAGUAAUGCAUUGGGUAGGGGAGCGUCGUAUGCGGGGCGAAGUCAGAGCGGAAGCACUGGUGGACUGCAUACGAGUGAGAAUGCCGGAAUGAGUAGCGAGAAUUAUGUGAGAAUCAUAAUGGCCGAAAAUCUAAGGUUUCUUGGGGAAGGUUCGUCCGCCCAAGGUAAGCCGGGAGCUAAGGCGAGGCCGAAAGGCGUAGUCGAUGCACAUACGGUUGAAAUUCCGUAGCCACCGAAAGAUUUAAGUACAGGGACGCUUUAGAAGUGAUGUAGCCGGGCGAUGGUUGACCCGGUCGUAAGGGAUCGAAAAUGAGUAGAGAAGUCAUCAUGGAAAGAGACAAGAAAAGCUGUAUGAAUAUCUUAGGUGCCCGUACCGCAAACCGACACAGGUAGAUAGGAAGAAGAUUCUAAGGCCAACGGGAGAAGGGUUGUUAAGGAACUCGGCAAGUUGACCCCGUAACUUAGGGAUAAGGGGUGCUCAAGUGAUUGAGCCGCAGAGAAUAGGCCCAGGCGACUGUUUAGCAAAAACACAGGUCUCUGCUAAAUCGAAAGAUGACGUAUAGGGGCUGACACCUGCCCGGUGCCGGAAGGUUAAGAGGAGAUGUGAGAGCAUUGAAUUGAAGCCCCGGUAAACGGCGGCCGUAACUAUAACGGUCCUAAGGUAGCGAAAUUCCUUGUCAGGU
RNAcentral lists this ribosomal RNA (1885 nucleotides) under human gut metagenome. RNAcentral's name for it is "bacterial LSU rRNA". It matches the Rfam family "Bacterial large subunit ribosomal RNA", at positions 3 to 1977 of the family's 2925-position model. The record is from RNAcentral.